This 427-nucleotide ribosomal RNA is filed under the name uncultured Solirubrobacter sp. RNAcentral's name for it is "bacterial SSU rRNA". It matches the Rfam family "Bacterial small subunit ribosomal RNA", at positions 355 to 774 of the family's 1533-position model. Lineage: Bacteria; Bacillati; Actinomycetota; Thermoleophilia; Solirubrobacterales; Solirubrobacteraceae. The record is from RNAcentral.
UGGGGAAUCUUGCACAAUGCGCGAAAGCGUGAUGCAGCAACGCCGCGUGGGGGAAGAAGGCCUUCGGGUUGUAAACCCCUUUCAGUUGGGACGAAGCUUCGCCGGUGAAUAGCCGGCUGGAGUGACGGUACCUUCACAAGAAGCCCCGGCUAACUACGUGCCAGCAGCCGCGGUAAUACGUAGGGGGCAAGCGUUGUCCGGAAUCAUUGGGCGUAAAGCGCGUGUAGGCGGCCCGGUAAGUCCGCUGUGAAAGUCGGGGGCUCAACCCUCGAAUGCCGGUGGAUACUGUCGGGCUAGAGUGCGGAAGAGGCGAGUGGAAUUCCUGGUGUAGCGGUGAAAUGCGCAGAUAUCAGGAGGAACACCAAUUGCGAAGGCAGCUCGCUGGGACGUGACUGACGCUGAGACGCGAAAGCGUGGGGAGCAAACA